AUGCGCGGCGCCGGGCGGCAGCAGAUCACCGCCUCUUCCCUCCGCGCGAGGCAGGCGACGGGCUCCCACGUCUUCACGAUCCACGAGUUCACGAAAGUCAGGGAGAAGGUGGCCAACGGCACCGCCGUCCUGUCAAGCCCGUUCCGCGUCGGCGGCCACGACUGGCGUAUCAAGUGCUACCCGAACGGCGAGACUGAGAAGGCCGAGGGUCAUAUCUCCCUCUUUCUGAAUCAUGGCAGCCACGGCAAGACGGGCGAUGCCAUGACAAAGUUCAAGAUAAGCGUACUCGACAAGGCCUGGAAGCCGUCGUACACUGAAACAGGAAAAGAACGCUGCUUCACGGGCGGCGGUUGGGGCUGGAACAAAUUCAUGAAACAUGAGGACCUGGACAAGGAGAAACACCUCAAGGACGACUGCUUGUCCGUACUCUGCGACGUGACCAUCGAUCUCGGGCUGCGCGCCGACGACUACACCGAUGAGGCUGCGGCAGUGGACGGGCACAAGUCGGCGCCGCCGCAUUCGCCACCGUUCGACUUGCGCGGCGUAGCACUCGCGGAGGCACUCUGGAACACGCGGGCGGCGGACUUGAUGAUCCACCUCGGCGACGGGCAGACGAUCCCGGCGCACCGGUGGGUGCUGGAGGCCCGAUCCCCGGUCUUCAAGGCGGAUCUUGCCCACGCCUCCACAACCGGCGAGAACAUUGCUGAGCUACGCGUCGAUGGCAUGGACGCCGAGGUCUGCAAGGAGCUGCUCCAGUUCAUCUACACGGACUCGCCGCCUCAGCAGAUCGAGGUGGCGGUGGUGGAGGGGCUCCUUGCCGCGGCGGAUAGGUAUGAGCUGGAGAAGCUGAAGCUCGUCUGCGAGGAGGCGCUGUGCAAGAUCAUCGACACGAGAUCUGUAGCCGCUACCCUGGCGCUGGCGGAGCGGCACCGCUGCCCGGCGUUGAGGGAGGCGUGCAUGCAAUUCCUCUCUUCUCCCGGUAACCUGAAGGCCGUCAUGGCGUCUGACGGUUUCGAGCAGCUCAAGACGGGCUGCCCCUCCGCCCUGCUGGAGCUCCUCGUGAAGAACAUGCUGACACAUGAGCAGCAGAUUAGUACCAGCAGCCAGAUAGAUAGUUACUCCAAUCGUACAAAGCGAUCGUCUCUUUCGUCAAUCAUCAUAUCAACGCCCGGGCUGUUGUCCGCAAUGCGCGCCGCCGGCCGGCAGCAGAUCACCGCCUCUUCCCUCCGCGCGAGACAUGCGACGGGCUCCCACGUCUUCACGAUCCACAAGUUCACCAAAGUCAGGGAGAAGGUGGCGAAUGGUGUCGCCGUCCUGUCAAGGCCGUUCUGCGUCGGGGGUCAUGACUGGCGUAUCAAGGUCUACCCCAACAGAGACGAGACAGAGAAUGCCGAGGGCCACAUCUCUCUCUAUCUGAUGCACAACAACUACGCCAAGACCGUCACUCCCGAAUGGUCAUGCCACGUGGCUUCCUUUUGCCGUGCGUGGCUCUUGGCGUCUACCCCGUUCGUUGUACGGGAGAUGAAGUUUGAUGGAAUUUUGAAACCACCAGAAAUCACAAACUCUCGUGAAUUUAGUCACAACCUUCUAUCUAGGGUAUACACUGAAGAUAUAGCAAUUAGAAUGGGUGAUGGAUCUCUUCUCUACUUCACUGAUGGUGAUGUUCACAAAGUUCUGGGUAUCCCAUUCACGGGAAAGGAGUUGCGAAUUCCUUCCACGGAAGAAAUCAAUCACAUCAAAAAUAUAAUAUGCAUCCGACUGAACGACCCGGAGUUUAAAAAAAUCACGAGAACUGUACUAACUGAUAUUGUAAGCAAGAAACAUGAAGCACCAAUGUCGGAUGAUGAAGUUGCUGCCUUCAAGACUGCAUUCAUUCUACUUGUGAUGACCAAAUUCCUUGCGCCACAAACUUUGUUGGACAAUAUAUGUCCGAGGUAUUUUAUGGCGCUCAAGAAUUUGGAUGACAUACAUAAUUGGAACUGGGCAAGGUAUGUCGUUAAUGACAUUAUAGCAGCAGCGCGGGCAUUGGCCAACAAGCUCACUGAUGAAACAAAAGCCACCUAUAUAAAUGGAUGUGUCAUAUUUCUGCAGAUAUUCUACUUGGACAACCUGGAAUUGGGUCCGCUAAGUCUCAAGCAUGAUUGCUUCCCACGAAUUAUGGCGUAUGAUAAACAUGCAAUAAAAGUACGAAUGAGUAUGGACCUCAAAGAGAAGAAUCAGUACAAGCCAACCCAGUUUUGGAUGAUGAAGCUACGUCCAAGAAGUGAAGUCUGUUACAGCAGACAUACAAUGGGUAUGAUGUCGGCUUUUCGAGCUGAAAGUGGCGCUGUCCCAUCAGAGAUCAAUCCUGAUAAUAGCAAGAUAGUUCAGCAAGCAUUCCUGAUUAGGGACAAUUUGUCAGAUUGA
RNAcentral lists this ribosomal RNA (2406 nucleotides) under Triticum aestivum (bread wheat). RNAcentral describes it as "partial small subunit ribosomal RNA". Lineage: Eukaryota; Viridiplantae; Streptophyta; Magnoliopsida; Poales; Poaceae. The record is from RNAcentral.